Long non-coding RNA from Clupea harengus (Atlantic herring), 558 nucleotides. NCBI's taxonomy places the organism in Eukaryota, Metazoa, Chordata, Actinopteri, Clupeiformes, Clupeidae. The record is from Ensembl.
GGAGCAUUUAGCAUAUCGUCUCAGGGGCCUGUGGUUCGGAGGGGGCAGAAAAGAGCAGUACAUCAUCCUGUCUUGUCAGCUUCUUUCUUCCUCUCUCUCUGACCAUGUGUCUGUCCUCUGCUCUUAGACCCAGCUGAGCCGAGUGGAUCGAUGGCAGGUCGACCGAGCCCAGACACUGUGUGUGUGCACUUGAGUGCUGACGCUGUGACAUCAGAGGACACCCACCCCAGUGCAGUCCUCCUCUGGGGCGACCAUCAUGGGCAUUUCAAAGAGAGCCGCUUCCACCAUGGCAACACAGUGAAGGAGAUGAGUACAGGUCCAGCGGUGCUACGAAAGCGGGCGGACAGCUCUUCACCCAAUACGCAGGGAGACCAGGUCACCCUCAUCUGGACCCAGUUAAUGUGGAGGACCGCAAAACCCACAUGAAGAGAGUAGUUUGCCUCUGAGUCUUGGGUGGAUGGGGUAAUGUGGAUGGAAUAAAUGCUUCUCUUUUACUACCUCUCUUCUCUCUCUCUACCUCUCAAAAAUACAAAUGAAUGUACUGUAUGCUUUAUUGAG